RNAcentral lists this microRNA precursor (123 nucleotides) under Hordeum vulgare. RNAcentral's name for it is "microRNA MIR1122". It matches the Rfam family "MIR1120/MIR1122 microRNA precursor family". The record is from RNAcentral. Lineage: Eukaryota; Viridiplantae; Streptophyta; Magnoliopsida; Poales; Poaceae.
CAAAUACUCCCUCCGUCCGGAAAUACUUGUCCUAAAGAUGAAUGUAUCUAGACUUAUUUUAGUUAUAGAUACAUCAUUACAUCCAUUUUUAGGACAAGUAUUUCCGGACGGAGGUAGUACCAA